AGAGCACCGGAAGAGAUAGGAUAAAGAUGUGAAGGAGAUAAAAAGGGAAAGUAUUUGGAUUGGAGGGUUAGAGAUUUAGAAUUACAAGACACAUUGGUAAUAGUAAUUGAAUAAAUGUAUGUGGUUAGGGUUGUAUUGGGAGGCAUCAAAAGAUAAUGCUUCAUGUGGAAUAUCUUUUUCUCUCUCUCUUUCCUUGAGUCAUGCUAUUGUAUUAUCAUAUUGGAGACCACAUUUAUUCCAUACGUGAUGCAAACUCUCUUUAUGGUUCUAUAUAAAGGCCCUAACAUGCCACCACUUCUACACACAGCAAAGCAAACAUAGCAAGGUUCCAGUACUCUUUUACGGAACAAUAUAGUUUGGGUCAUAUAUACUAGUAUAAUAGGGUUUUUGUUGAGUUGUCUGCUGCAAGCGACUACACGGGUUGUGCUUACAGCCUGAAGAAUCGAGGGUUUUAAGGCUUAUGUUGGCAUGAGAGCCAAUUGUGAAUCGGAAUGAUACUCUUGAAGACACGCGUUAGAGAGCUAGGGUUGCGUUUCAUCCCUUUAGCCAGUCCACUUGGGAUCCGGCCAACAAUUCUUUCAGUAGGAUACUUUAGAUCUGGCUGUUCAUCAUACUUGUAAUAGCAUAUAUAUAUAUGAUCUCUUUCUGAUACAUGCGCGCAUAUACUUUGAUUAUAGUGAUGAUCCUUCUUAUUGGCCUAGUAAAGAAAUAAAUAAAUCAUCUGUGCUUAACUUAGGCUUUAUUAAAUAUAAAGCCAGGACAAUCUAGUGCUACAGGAAAGUUUGACAUUAGUCACGUGAUGUUCCCUCAAAACAGAAGCUGAAAGUGCAAUUUAAAACCCCCACUGGAAAUAUCUAGCUAGGUUUUAUAAUAAGAUAUUUGAGCUCAUGAAAUGCCUUUAAUCAUCUUUGGAAACUAGAAAACACUCUUGUUGACAUUGAUGAUCUUGUUGCCAAAUUUUCCUAGAUGGUCCUUAGCUGACGUCUUUAGGCAAGCGAAUUCUGUAGCAGACUCUGGCCAAGCAAGGAGAAUGGAGGAGUAGUGAUUUUGUGGUCUGGUUUAUGUCAAAGAAUCAGUUCAACUCAAAAAAUUAAUCUAUGUAAGGCCUUAUUAAUGGUUUACUGCAGAAAAUUAUGCAGUUUUGAUCAAUUCAAUGCCUGCAGGUUUUUGGUCAUGUUUUCUGAUUUGUUUCCAGGCACUGCAGAUCCUUGUUUAAUGGUGUUCAGGUGUUCAUGUGCGCUACUUGUUUGAGGAUCCUCCUUUGGUUUGCUGCUUCUCUUAAAUAAGGGUGUGGUCUUUUAUAGUCUUAGAGAGUUUAGGCGUGAGCAUCUUGCUCAGCGCAUAUGUUUUUUGAACUUUUUUUUCAGCUAGAUCGAUCGAUCUUUAUCGAGCAGCUCUCCUCUCUCUUUGUUCCUGUUCUGUUGUGCCUUUUUUUUUUAAAAAAAAGACCACUCAUGUAAUUAUUUCCUUGUAUUUUGCCUCGAGUUUAUGAUAUUCUAUGAUUAGGAAUAGCUAUGAUAUAUCAUGUGAUAGCAAGCAUGUUGAGAUACUAGUUGAAAUCCUAGUCUAAAAUAGGAUUUUUUUAAAAGAAAAAAGGGAUAUGUUUAGAAUCUUUA
Long non-coding RNA from Populus trichocarpa (black cottonwood), 1616 nucleotides. RefSeq lists it as uncharacterized. The transcript is spliced from 2 exons. The record is from RefSeq and is a predicted model, not a curated record. NCBI's taxonomy places the organism in Eukaryota, Viridiplantae, Streptophyta, Magnoliopsida, Malpighiales, Salicaceae.